Molecule: ribosomal RNA, 500 nt
Filed under: uncultured Glomeromycotina
Lineage: Eukaryota; Fungi; Glomeromycota
Description: partial small subunit ribosomal RNA
Rfam family: Eukaryotic small subunit ribosomal RNA
Source: RNAcentral
CCAAUAGCGUAUAUUAAAGUUGUUGCAGUUAAAAAGCUCGUAGUUGAAUUUCGGGGUUAGUAGGUUGGUCGUGCCUUUGGUAUGUACUGGUCUCACUGAUUCCUCCUUCUUGAAGAACUGUAAUGUCAUUAAUUUGGUGUUGCAGGGAAACAGGACUGUUACUUUGAAAAAUUUAGUGUGUUUAAAGCAGGCUAACGCCUGAAUACAUUAGCAUGGAAUAAUGAAAUAGGACGUUUGAUCCUAUUUUGUUGGUUUCUAGGAUUGACGUAAUGAUUAAUAGGGAUAGUUGGGGGCAUUAGUAUUCAAUUGUCAGAGGUGAAAUUCUUGGAUUUAUUGAAGACUAACUACUGCGAAAGCAUUUGCCAAGGAUGUUUUCAUUAAUCAAGAACGAAAGUUAGGGGAUCGAAGACGAUCAGAUACCGUCGUAGUCUUAACCAUAAACUAUGCCGACUAGGGAUCGGAUGAUGUUAAUUUUUUAAUGACUCAUUCGGCGCCUUACG